GAUGAGCGCUGGCGGCAUGCUUUACACAUGCAAGUCGGACGGAAAGUCGUGUUUCUUGUGGCGGACGGGUGAGUAACGCGUAAGAACCUGCCCUUGGGAGGGGAACCACAUCUGGAAACGACUUCUAAUACCCCGUAGCCUGAGGAGCGAAAGGAGGAAUCCGCCCAAGGAGGGGCUCGCGUCUGAUUAGCUAGUUGGUGAGGUAAUAGCUUACCAAGGCCGUGAUCAGUAGCUGGUCCGAGAGGAUGAUCAGCCACACUGGGACGGAGACAAGGAGCAGACUACUACGGGAAGCAGCAGUGGGGAAUGUUCAGCAAUGGGAGAAAGGCUGACGGAGCAAUGCGGGGGGGAGGAAAAAGGCCUAGGGGUAAAGAACUUCGUUUCCUGGAGAAGAAACAAUGACGGUAUCUGGGGAAUAAGCAUCGGCUAACUAUGUG
This 437-nucleotide ribosomal RNA is filed under the name uncultured bacterium. RNAcentral describes it as "partial 16S ribosomal RNA". It matches the Rfam family "Bacterial small subunit ribosomal RNA", at positions 28 to 507 of the family's 1533-position model. The record is from RNAcentral.